RNAcentral lists this ribosomal RNA (421 nucleotides) under uncultured bacterium. RNAcentral's name for it is "bacterial SSU rRNA". It matches the Rfam family "Bacterial small subunit ribosomal RNA", at positions 354 to 774 of the family's 1533-position model. The record is from RNAcentral.
GUAAGGAAUAUUGCUCAAUGGGAGAAAUCCUGAAGCAGCAACGCCGCGUGGAGGAUGAAGGGUCUAUGACUUGUAAACUCCUGUAAAGAAGGAAAAAAUUCCCAUUUGAUGGGAGAUGAUGGUACUUCUGGAGUAAGCCCCGGCUAACUACGUGCCAGCAGCCGCGGUAAUACGUAGGGGGCAAGCGUUGUCCGGAUUUACUGGGUGUAAAGGGUGCUCAGGCGGAUUUGUAAGUCAGAGGUGAAAUCUUACAGCUUAACUGUGAAACUGCCUUUGAUACUGCAAGCCUAGAGUAUGGAAGAGAGUGAUGGAAUAUCUGGUGUAGCAGUGAAAUGCGUAGAUAUCAGAUAGAACACCAAUGGCGAAGGCAGUCACUUGGUCCAUUACUGACGCUAAAGCACGAAAGCGUGGGUAGCAAACA